Molecule: transfer RNA, 84 nt
Filed under: Lachnospiraceae bacterium
Lineage: Bacteria; Bacillati; Bacillota; Clostridia; Lachnospirales; Lachnospiraceae
Also listed under: 2 other names
Description: tRNA-Leu
Rfam family: tRNA
About the family: Transfer RNA (tRNA) molecules are approximately 80 nucleotides in length. Their secondary structure includes four short double-helical elements and three loops (D, anti-codon, and T loops).
Source: RNAcentral
GCGGAAGUGCUGGAAUUGGCAGACAGGCUAGACUAAGGAUCUAGUGUUGGAAACGACGUGAGGGUUCAAGUCCCUUCUUCCGCA